ACCUGGCUGGCUCAGUCAGUAGAGCAUGAAACUCUUGAUCUUAGGGUUAUGAGUUCAAGUCCCAUGUUGGGUG
RNAcentral lists this transfer RNA (73 nucleotides) under Canis lupus familiaris (dog). It matches the Rfam family "tRNA". From Rfam's summary of the family: Transfer RNA (tRNA) molecules are approximately 80 nucleotides in length. Their secondary structure includes four short double-helical elements and three loops (D, anti-codon, and T loops). Further hydrogen bonds mediate the characteristic L-shaped molecular structure. tRNAs have two regions of fundamental functional importance: the anti-codon, which is responsible for specific mRNA codon recognition, and the 3' end, to which the tRNAs corresponding amino acid is attached (by aminoacyl-tRNA synthetases). tRNAs cope with the degeneracy of the genetic code in two manners: having more than one tRNA (with a specific anti-codon) for a particular amino acid; and 'wobble' base-pairing, i.e. permitting non-standard base-pairing at the 3rd anti-codon position. Lineage: Eukaryota; Metazoa; Chordata; Mammalia; Carnivora; Canidae. The record is from Rfam by way of RNAcentral. RNAcentral also lists the same sequence under 2 other names.